RNAcentral lists this ribosomal RNA (662 nucleotides) under Lamium galeobdolon subsp. montanum. RNAcentral describes it as "eukaryotic LSU rRNA". The stretch from base 257 to 412 matches the Rfam family "5.8S ribosomal RNA". The record is from RNAcentral. Lineage: Eukaryota; Viridiplantae; Streptophyta; Magnoliopsida; Lamiales; Lamiaceae.
GUAGGUGAACCUGCGGAAGGAUCAUUGUCGAAACCUGCAAAAGCAAACCGCGAACACGUUCAAAACAACACCGGGGCCGCGGAGGGGGGGCAACCCCCCGCCGCGGUGCCGACCCCGCCCGGCGCGCGAGUGCCGUGCGGGCUAACGAACUCGGGCGCGGAAUGCGCCAAGGAAAACGCAAUGGAGCGUUCCCCUCCCCUUCCCGCCCCGUCCGCGGGGCGAGGGGGAGCAAGGGACGCCUAUGGAAUGUCUAAACGACUCCCGGCAACGGAUAUCUCGGCUCUCGCAUCGAUGAAGAACGUAGCGAAAUGCGAUACUUGGUGUGAAUUGCAGAAUCCCGUGAACCAUCGAGUCUUUGAACGCAAGUUGCGCCCGAAGCCAUUAGGCCGAGGGCACGCCUGCCUGGGCGUCACGCAUCGCGUCGCCCCCACUCCCCCGCGGGGGAUCGGGGGCGGAGAUUGGCCCCCCGUGAGCGCAGCUGCGCGCGCGGCCGGCCCAAAUGCGAAUCCGCCGUCGACGCACGUCGCGACCAGUGGUGGUUGAACCCUCAACUCGCGUGCUGUCGCGCCCCGAUGCGUCGUCGGUUCGGAGAAAAAGAACCCAACGGCGCGAGCACACGCAUCGUGCCCACGACCGCGACCCCAGGUCAGGCGGGAUCACCC